This is a long non-coding RNA of Oncorhynchus tshawytscha (Chinook salmon), 986 nucleotides long. RefSeq lists it as uncharacterized. The record is from RefSeq and is a predicted model, not a curated record. The transcript is spliced from 4 exons. NCBI's taxonomy places the organism in Eukaryota, Metazoa, Chordata, Actinopteri, Salmoniformes, Salmonidae.
GGACUCCCUUGAUAGAUGUUAUCACGAAGGUGCUGUCCAGGCUCUGUGUCGCUGGUUUGCCCUCUCCACCCAGACCGCUGCCGUCAUGGAGGAACUCAACACAUUUACUGCCUGUCUCACUCAUUCUGACAUGUCUCAGAGUCUAGCAACCUCAAGGAAUUCAACCAUUAAGUUAACAGGUGACCAUGACAAACGUGAUUCCGAGGGGUCUAUUUUGCUGCUCUGUGGUGAGAGGGGUUGCUUCAGGAGUUCCCGGAAGAAGAAUCCUAGAAUCCUGGCCAUCCCUCACCUCUGUGGAAUCAGCAGCUCCAGUGUGGAUAUCAGAUCUGUACUGAGAGACAUCACCACUGAGCUACGCCUGGCCCAUUAUGGUGAAGGACCUACGCUGGCUCCCUGACCUUCCAACACCUUACCCUGCCCUGCCAGGAGCCGCACAGGACCCUGCUGCAAUUCCUCUUGGGAACCACUACCAGGCUGGGAUGGACCGCCUGCCGCUGUUCCUGGCGGUGGUGGCUAGCGAGCUGCAGAUGUGCGGCAUCCUGAGGGGAACGGAGGAGGAGUUGAUAGAGGAGUAUGUGGAAGUGGAUUCUAUGGCAGAGCUGUGAGCCAAGGUGAUUCAGCGCUGGAUCAAUGACUAUGGCGGGGUCAGUGAGGGUACGGCCAGUCCAGCCAGCGCUGGAUAAAUGACUAUGGCGGGGUCGGCCAGUCCAGCCAAAGGAACAGGAGGGCCUACCUCUCAGGUGUCCAACAAAGAUCUCAGAGACUGGAUAUGAGACGCUCUCUGCCUCGUUCACCUCUCCCAUGCUGGGCUGACUGAGGAGCAGGUCUUGGUCCUGCUGGAGGUUCUUGGUUACCCUGGGUACUUACAGGUUCUACCUCUGGAGUGGGCCCGGUUCCGCACUGCUGCUGGGCCCUGGGUACAGGAGAGACCCAAUGGAACACUGAGCCUCACCCACCAAUCACUGGGCCAAGCUAUGGACCUCCUC